RNAcentral lists this ribosomal RNA (492 nucleotides) under uncultured bacterium. Its description in RNAcentral is "partial 16S ribosomal RNA". It matches the Rfam family "Bacterial small subunit ribosomal RNA", at positions 29 to 507 of the family's 1533-position model. The record is from RNAcentral.
AGUGAACGCUGGCGGUAGGCCUAACACAUGCAAGUCGAACGGCAGCACAGUAAGAGCUUGCUCUUACGGGUGGCGAGUGGCGGACGGGUGAGGAAUACAUCGGAAUCUACUUUUUCGUGGGGGAUAACGUAGGGAAACUUACGCUAAUACCGCAUACGACCUACGGGUGAAAGCAGGGGAUCUUCGGACCUUGCGCGAUUGAAUGAGCCGAUGUCGGAUUAGCCAGUUGGCGGGGUAAAGGCCCACCAAGGCGACGAUCCGUAGCUGGUCUGAGAGGAUGAUCAGCCACACUGGAACUGAGACACGGUCCAGACUCCUACGGGAGGCAGCAGUGGGGAAUAUUGGACAAAGGGCGCAAGCCUGAUCCAGCCAUACCGAGUGGGUGAAGAAGGCCUUCGGGUUGUAAAGCCCUUUUGUUGGGAAAGAAAAGCAGCAGGUUAAUACCCCGCUGUUCUGACGGUACCCAAAGAAUAAGCACCGGCUAACUUCGUG